RNAcentral lists this ribosomal RNA (253 nucleotides) under uncultured bacterium. RNAcentral describes it as "partial 16S ribosomal RNA". It matches the Rfam family "Bacterial small subunit ribosomal RNA", at positions 524 to 776 of the family's 1533-position model. The record is from RNAcentral.
UACGUAGGGUGCGAGCGUUAAUCGGAAUUACUGGGCGUAAAGGGUGCGCAGGCGGUUCUGCAAGUCAGGCGUGAAAUCCCCGGGCUUAACCUGGGAAUGGCGCUUGAAACUACGGGACUGGAGUAUGGCAGAGGGAGGUGGAAUUCCACGUGUAGCGGUGAAAUGCGUAGAGAUGUGGAGGAACACCGCUGGCGAAGGCAGCCUCCUGGGCCAAUACUGACGCUCAUGCACGAAAGCGUGGGGAGCAAACAGG